This is a long non-coding RNA of Carassius gibelio (silver crucian carp), 650 nucleotides long. RefSeq lists it as uncharacterized. The record is from RefSeq and is a predicted model, not a curated record. NCBI's taxonomy places the organism in Eukaryota, Metazoa, Chordata, Actinopteri, Cypriniformes, Cyprinidae. The transcript is spliced from 4 exons.
UGGCCAUUUUCUUUUCUUUUUGGACUGUUGAUUUUAAUCUGUUACAUUCAGGGGAUGCUGCCAUUGGUGAAGGUGUGACUAGACACUUCUUUUCAACUGUUAUACAGAGGCUUCAGCAUGGUUUCAAUUUUAACAUGGGAAAUACUGCAAGGACCUGUCUCUUUGAAGGUGAACCAGGCCAUCUUGUUCCAUCAUCUUCACAAUUUCUCAUAGAGAGUGAUCUGUUCCAAGUUGCAGGACGCAUGAUUGGACAUGCAUUCCUACAUGGUGGACCUCGCCUGGCUGGAGUCAGCCAAGCAAUGGCCCAUGUACUUCUAGGUGGUUCAGCUGAAACUGCUACAGUGCAAAUCGAAGACUGUCCUGACCAUGAUAUUCGUGAAACCAUAAAACUACUUGAUGGAGAGGCAGAACUCAGUAGUGAAGAAUAUCAAGCUGUCCUUGACCUGAGUCUUGCUUAGGAUCUUCCUGGCCCAACCAAAGAAAACCGGAAGUGGCUUUUUGAGCGCCUAUUAUCACAUGCGGUCAUUGGAAGGAGAUUACGGCAGUUGAAACAAAUACGUAAAGGACUUAAAGAAACCAGAGUGUGGCCACUGUUGAGUGAAAGGAAAGGUGUGGAAUUCUUUCUGGGGGAAAAUGAAAAUUCACUCACC